CAGCAGCCGCGGGAAUACGAAGGGGGCUAGCAUUGUUCGGAUUUACUGGGCGUAAAGCGCACGUAGGCGGAUCGAUCAGUCAGGGGUGAAAUCCCAGAGCUCAACUCUGGAACUGCCUUUGAUACUGUCGAUCUGGAGUAUGGAAGAGGUGAGUGGAAUUCCGAGUGUAGAGGUGAAAUUCGUAGAUAUUCGGAGGAACACCAGUGGCGAAGGCGGCUCACUGGUCCAUUACUGACGCUGAGGUGCGAAAGCGUGGGGAGCAAACAGGAUUAGAUACCCCUGUAGUCCCUGUCUCUUAUAC
Molecule: ribosomal RNA, 301 nt
Filed under: uncultured bacterium
Lineage: Bacteria
Description: partial 16S ribosomal RNA
Rfam family: Bacterial small subunit ribosomal RNA
Source: RNAcentral